RNAcentral lists this ribosomal RNA (460 nucleotides) under uncultured bacterium. Its description in RNAcentral is "partial 16S ribosomal RNA". It matches the Rfam family "Bacterial small subunit ribosomal RNA", at positions 338 to 795 of the family's 1533-position model. The record is from RNAcentral.
CCUACGGGUGGCUGCAGUGAGGAAUAUUGGUCAAUGGACGAGAGUCUGAACCAGCCAAGUAGCGUGAAGGAUGACUGCCCUAUGGGUUGUAAACUUCUUUUAUAUGGGAAUAAAAUGUUCCACGUGUGGGAUUUUGUAUGUACCCUAUGAAUAAGGACCGGCUAACUCCGUGCCAGCAGCCGCGGUAAUACGGAGGAUCCGCGCGUUAUCCGGAUUUAUUGGGUUUAAAGGGAGCGUAGAUGGGUUGUUAAGCCAGUGGUGAAAGUUUGCGGCUCAACCGUUAAAUUGCAGUUGAAACUGGCAGGAUUGAGUACAGCAGAGGUGGGCGGAAUUCGUGGUGUAGCGGUGAAAUGCUUAGAUAUCACGAAGAACUCCGAUUGCGAAGGCAGCUCACUGGACUGCAACUGACACUGAGGCUCGAAAGUGUGGGUAUCAAACAGGAUUAGAUACCCGAGUAGUC